UCGGGAAUAUUGGACAAUGGGCGAAAGCCUGAUCCAGCCAUGCCGCGUGUGUGAAGAAGGCCUUCGGGUUGUAAAGCACUUUAAGCGAGGAGGAAUGGCUCUGGGUUAAUACCCUUGAGCAGUGACGUUACUCGCAGAAUAAGCACCGGCUAACUCUGUGCCAGCAGCCGCGGUAAUACGUAGGGACCAAGCGUUGUUCGGAUUUACUGGGCGUAAAGGGCGCGUAGGCGGCGUGGUAAGUCAUCUGUGAAAUCUCCGAGCUUAACUCGGAACGGUCAGAUGAUACUGCUGUGCUAGAGUACAGAAAGGGCAAUCGGAAUUCUUGGUGUAGCGGUGAAAUGCGUAGAUAUCAAGAGGAACACCUGAGGCGAAGGCGGGUUGCUAGGCUGAUACUGACGCUGAGGCGCGAAAGCUAGGGGAGCAAACGGGAUUAGAUACCCACGUAGUCCCUGAGCGGGCUGGCAAGGCGCAU
RNAcentral lists this ribosomal RNA (472 nucleotides) under uncultured bacterium. RNAcentral describes it as "bacterial SSU rRNA". It matches the Rfam family "Bacterial small subunit ribosomal RNA", at positions 355 to 825 of the family's 1533-position model. The record is from RNAcentral.